Molecule: ribosomal RNA, 738 nt
Filed under: Salmonella enterica subsp. enterica serovar Agona str. 246555-3
Lineage: Bacteria; Pseudomonadati; Pseudomonadota; Gammaproteobacteria; Enterobacterales; Enterobacteriaceae
Description: bacterial SSU rRNA
Rfam family: Bacterial small subunit ribosomal RNA
Source: RNAcentral
CGAUGUCUACUUGGAGGUUGUGCCCUUGAGGCGUGGCUUCCGGAGCUAACGCGUUAAGUAGACCGCCUGGGGAGUACGGCCGCAAGGUUAAAACUCAAAUGAAUUGACGGGGGCCCGCACAAGCGGUGGAGCAUGUGGUUUAAUUCGAUGCAACGCGAAGAACCUUACCUGGUCUUGACAUCCACAGAACUUUCCAGAGAUGGACUGGUGCCUUCGGGAACUGUGAGACAGGUGCUGCAUGGCUGUCGUCAGCUCGUGUUGUGAAAUGUUGGGUUAAGUCCCGCAACGAGCGCAACCCUUAUCCUUUGUUGCCAGCGGUCCGGCCGGGAACUCAAAGGAGACUGCCAGUGAUAAACUGGAGGAAGGUGGGGAUGACGUCAAGUCAUCAUGGCCCUUACGACCAGGGCUACACACGUGCUACAAUGGCGCAUACAAAGAGAAGCGACCUCGCGAGAGCAAGCGGACCUCAUAAAGUGCGUCGUAGUCCGGAUUGGAGUCUGCAACUCGACUCCAUGAAGUCGGAAUCGCUAGUAAUCGUGGAUCAGAAUGCCACGGUGAAUACGUUCCCGGGCCUUGUACACACCGCCCGUCACACCAUGGGAGUGGGUUGCAAAAGAAGUAGGUAGCUUAACCUUCGGGAGGGCGCUUACCACUUUGUGAUUCAUGACUGGGGUGAAGUCGUAACAAGGUAACCGUAGGGGAACCUGCGGUUGGAUCACCUCCUUACCUUAAAGAAGC